This 141-nucleotide small RNA is filed under the name Karenia brevis. RNAcentral describes it as "partial Betaproteobacteria transfer-messenger RNA". Lineage: Eukaryota; Dinophyceae; Gymnodiniales; Kareniaceae. The record is from RNAcentral.
UUGGCGCAGUGAUGGCUGCAUCUCACAUGGGGAUCCCACCGCUGUGCAAAGCAGCGACGACUGGAAAUUUAGCACUGGCGACCUUGUGGGGCUUGCUGUGGGUCCUCGCGGCGUCACUUUCCUGCGCAACAGCAAGCAGGU